AGAGUUUGAUCCUGGCUCAGGAUGAACGCUGGCGGCGUGCUUAACACAUUCAAGUCGAACGGAGCUUAAUUAAUUAAUCCUUCGGGAAGCGUUGAUUAAGCUUAGUGGCGGACGGGUGAGUAAUGCAUGAGCAACCUGCCUUUUCGUGGGGAAUAACACAGGGAAACCGGUGCUAAUACCGCAUAUGACGUAACCCCGGCAUCGGGGUAGCGUGAAAGGAGCAAUUCGCGAAAAGAUGGGCUCAUGUCUGAUUAGAUAGUUGGCAGGGUAACGGCCUACCAAGUCGACGAUCAGUAGCCGGACUGAGAGGUUGAACGGCCACAUUGGAACUGAGAUACGGUCCAGACUCCUACGGGAGGCAGCAGUGGGGAAUAUUGGGCAAUGGGCGAAAGCCUGACCCAGCGACGCCGCGUGAGGGAAGAAGGUCUUCGGAUUGUAAACCUUUGUCAACAGGGACGAAACAAAUGACGGUACCUGAAGAGGAAGCCACGGCUAACUACGUGCCAGCAGCCGCGGUAAUACGUAGGUGGCGAGCGUUAUCCGGAAUUACUGGGUGUAAAGGGUGCGUAGGCGGGUCUGUAAGUCAGAUGUGAAAUGCAAUGGCUCAACCAUUGAAACUGCAUUUUGAAACUGUGGAUCUUGAGAGUGGGAGAGGUAAUCGGAAUUCCCGGUGUAGCGGUGAAAUGCGUAGAAAUCGGGAGGAACACCAGUGGGCAAAGGCGGAUAACUGGGAACACACUGGACGCUGAGGCAGGAAAGCGUGGGGAGGCAAACAGGAUUAGAAUACCCUGGUAGUCCACGCUGUAAACGAUGAAUGCUAGGUGUAGGGGGCGAAAGCUUCUGUGCCGGAGUAAACACAAUAAGCAUUCCACCUGGGGAGUACGACCGCAAGGUUGAAACUCAAAGGAAUUGACGGGAGCCCGCACAAGCAGUGGAGUAUGUGGUUUAAUUCGAAGCAACGCGAAGAACCUUACCAAGGCUUGACAUCCUACUAAAGUCAUGGAAACAUGAUGUCUCUUCGGAGGAGUAGAGACAGGUGGUGCAUGGUUGUCGUCAGCUCGUGUCGUGAGAUGUUGGGUUAAGUCCCGCAACGAGCGCAACCCCUAUUGCCAGUUACCAGCGGGUAGAGCCGGGGACUCUGGUAAGACUGCCGGGGACAACUCGGAGGAAGGUGGGGACGACGUCAAAUCAUCAUGCCCCUUACGUCUUGGGCUACACACGUGCUACAAUGGCUGAAACAAAGGGAAGCGACAUCGCAAGAUGAAGCGGAUCUCAUAAAAACAGUCCCAGUUCGGAUUGUGGGCUGCAACCCGCCCACAUGAAGUCGGAGUUGCUAGUAAUCGCGGAUCAGCAUGCCGCGGUGAAUACGUUCCCUGGGCCUUGCACUCACCGCCCGUCA
RNAcentral lists this ribosomal RNA (1399 nucleotides) under uncultured bacterium. Its description in RNAcentral is "bacterial SSU rRNA". It matches the Rfam family "Bacterial small subunit ribosomal RNA". The record is from RNAcentral.